GACGUAGGGCGCGAGCGUUGUCCGGAUUUAUUGGGCGUAAAGAGCUCGUAGGCGGCUCAUCGCGUCUGCCGUGAAAACCUGUGGCUCAACUACAGGCUUGCGGUUGAUACGGGUGGGCUGGAGUUCGGUAGGGGAGACUGGAAUUCCUGGUGUAGCGGUGAAAUGCGCAGAUAUCAGGAGGAACACCGGUGGCGAAGGCGGGUCUCUGGGCCGAUACUGACGCUGAGGAGCGAAAGCGUGGGGAGCGAACAGG
This 253-nucleotide ribosomal RNA is filed under the name Micromonosporaceae bacterium. RNAcentral's name for it is "partial 16S ribosomal RNA". It matches the Rfam family "Bacterial small subunit ribosomal RNA", at positions 524 to 776 of the family's 1533-position model. The record is from RNAcentral. RNAcentral also lists the same sequence under 1 other name. Lineage: Bacteria; Bacillati; Actinomycetota; Actinomycetes; Micromonosporales; Micromonosporaceae.